GAUGAAGAACGUAGCGAAAUGCGAUAAGUAGUGUGAAUUGCAGAAUUCAGUGAAUCAUCGAAUCUUUGAACGCACAUUGCGCCCCUUGGUAUUCCGAGGGGCAUGCCUGUUCGAGCGUCAUUUCAACCCUCAAGCUCUGCUUGGUCUUGGGCCUGGCCGUGAUGGCCGGUCUUAAAAUCAGUGGCGGUGCCGUCGCAGGCUCCAAGCGUAGUACAUCUCUCGCUCUGGAAACUUGGCGGUGCCUGCCAGACAACCCCUAAUUGUCUCUUUCGGUUGACCUCGGAUCAGGUAGGGAUACCCGCUGAACUUAAGCAUAUCAAUAAGCGGAGGA
RNAcentral lists this unclassified non-coding RNA (331 nucleotides) under soil metagenome. RNAcentral describes it as "partial contains 5.8S ribosomal RNA, internal transcribed spacer 2, and large subunit ribosomal RNA". The stretch from base 1 to 120 matches the Rfam family "5.8S ribosomal RNA", at positions 35 to 154 of the family's 154-position model. The record is from RNAcentral.